Molecule: small RNA, 574 nt
Filed under: Histoplasma capsulatum var. duboisii H88
Lineage: Eukaryota; Fungi; Ascomycota; Eurotiomycetes; Onygenales; Ajellomycetaceae
Description: Histoplasma capsulatum H88 hypothetical RNA
Source: RNAcentral
CUUCCAUUCCAUGUACCACGCUACAUGUGGAUAUUUUUACUUCAUAUACGACUUGGGAUCAAAUUCGGCCAAAGGAUGCACUGCUGCACAAAUGCUGUUGAAUAAGUAAAUGGCGACUCCAUUCGAUACGCAUGUGCUCGUUGUUCCACUCAUGCCUCUAUUGUGAGACUGAGGACUGGACCUAUUUUGGCUGCGGCGCACAUUACCAAUGCCGUUAGAGAAGGCCGGGCCAAGUUGCACUCCACAGGGUUUCAUUCUAUCUGGGCGUCGACCAAUUAUUCUAUCACAUCUUCCAAGCCAGCCACUCUUGGUAUAGCUUCUAGCCGAUAAAGAUUUCGUAUUUACCCCAGUGAUGAUUUUUGCCCAAGCGAGGAAUGCAUUGUGAAACCGGCAGGCUUCUUCUAGCUUAUUACGACAUACAGAAUCCAUUCCGCGAAGAAAAAGUCCUUUUGCUUCGGGUGGCCUGACAAAGGUCAAAGGGGGUUUUGAGGAUGCUGCUAGCAGCGCCACGUUUCCUGUUUUGCCAAAGAAUUAUCACACCCCUGAUAGAGUGACAUUUUUAGCUGCUCUGGCG